CAGUUUCUUUAAAUUUCCAUGUUGUUGACAGUUCAGAAAUGAUAUAAAUCUCCAUUCUAAUCACAUUUCUAGCAACAGAACAUUUAGAUGUCAGCAGUAAACUUUAUACAGGAUAAAUUUUUCACCACAAGCUUCCUCACACCACACAGGCUCCACCGAACCCUGCAUCUUAUACUUUUACUUCAGAGAUGCAAACCCACCUCCUACUUUGGCCUGGACCCAA
RNAcentral lists this long non-coding RNA (223 nucleotides) under Bos taurus (domestic cattle). RNAcentral describes it as "long non-coding RNA NONBTAT021576". Lineage: Eukaryota; Metazoa; Chordata; Mammalia; Artiodactyla; Bovidae. The record is from RNAcentral.